CCUGACGCAGCGACGCCGCGUGAGUGAAGAAGGUUUUCGGAUCGUAAAACUCUGUUGUCAGAGAAGAACAAGUUGGAGAGUAACUGCUCCAGCCUUGACGGUAUCUGACCAGAAAGCCACGGCUAACUACGUGCCAGCAGCCGCGGUAAUACGUAGGUGGCAAGCGUUGUCCGGAUUUAUUGGGCGUAAAGCGAGCGCAGGCGGUUCCUUAAGUCUGAUGUGAAAGCCCACGGCUCAACCGUGGAAGGUCGUUGGAAACUGGGGAACUUGAGUGCAGAAGAGGAGAGUGGAAUUCCAUGUGUAGCGGUGAAAUGCGUAGAUAUAUGGAGGAACACCAGUGGCGAAGGCGACUCUCUGGUCUGUAACUGACGCUGAGGCUCGAAAGCGUGGGGAGCAAACAGGAUUAGAUACCCUGGUAGUCCACGCCGUAAACGAUGAGUGCUAAGUGUUGGAGGGUUUCCACCCUUCAGUGCUGCAGCUAACGCAUUAAGCACUCCGCCUGGGGAGUACGGCCGCAAGGCUGAAACUCAAAGGAAUUGACGG
This 543-nucleotide ribosomal RNA is filed under the name uncultured bacterium. Its description in RNAcentral is "bacterial SSU rRNA". It matches the Rfam family "Bacterial small subunit ribosomal RNA", at positions 382 to 916 of the family's 1533-position model. The record is from RNAcentral.